This is a long non-coding RNA of Sinocyclocheilus anshuiensis, 720 nucleotides long. RefSeq lists it as uncharacterized. The transcript has 3 exons. The record is from RefSeq and is a predicted model, not a curated record. Lineage: Eukaryota; Metazoa; Chordata; Actinopteri; Cypriniformes; Cyprinidae.
GUUGGGAGGAGGAGGAGGAGGUGGAGGGGAACAGCUGCUCCCCACACAGAAGCCGGUUUCCCAGUCUGACAGGCAGCGAGAGGCAGCCAGUGCCGGGGCUGUUUUCCCGGGGGCCCUCGGGUUGGUUCGCCAGCUCCGCAGCUCCGGCUUGGAGGGAGAUUUUUAUGGCGGCGGCGAAACACGAAAUUGACCAGAAAAAGUAGGAUUCUUUCCUUCACAAGGCCAGGCGCUCGUGUUCUCUAAAUCAGGAGCAGAUAUGGAUACAUCUCCACUGAAACUCGACCAGGUUUCUCUCAGCCGAUGGGACUCCAGUGGACCCCGCGGCAGCUCUGAGCGUCUUCCUCCAGUCAGAGCUUUUAACCCGUCGGAUGGCGGUUAGCGGUGGCCGCAGGUGCUCCCGUUACCUGCACGAAAAGCUGCGUGAGCACCCCAGAAAUCCUCAAACACUCUCACACACACACACACAACCCAGACAUCUUUUUGUUCUUCAACAUACAGUGAGCUCUGGCAGGGACAUAAACCUGUCUGUAUCCUAAAAUGCACUCUCUCUCUCACAAAAAAACAAUCCCUGUUGUGAAUGAGUGUGCAAAAUAAUACAGACUUCUUUUUAGGUGCAGAUGUUAUUUUCAGCUUGCAGGUAACUUGCAGAUUAACUUGAUAUUGUUACACACAUUCUUACUAUUUACUAGGAUAUGCCAUAAAAUAAUACCAUUAUUCAAA